RNAcentral lists this ribosomal RNA (495 nucleotides) under uncultured bacterium. Its description in RNAcentral is "partial 16S ribosomal RNA". It matches the Rfam family "Bacterial small subunit ribosomal RNA", at positions 30 to 507 of the family's 1533-position model. The record is from RNAcentral.
UGAACGCUGGCGGCGUGCCUAAUACAUGCACGUCGAGCGAACAGACGAGGAGCUUGCUCCUCUGACGUUAGCGGCGGACGGGUGAGUAACACGUGGAUAACCUACCUAUAAGACUGGGAUAACUUCGGGAAACCGGAGCUAAUACCGGAUAAUAUAUUGAACCGCAUGGUUCACUAGUGAAAGACGGUUUUGCUGUCACUUAUAGAUGGAUCCGCGCCGCAUUAGCUAGUUGGUAAGGUAACGGCUUACCAAGGCAACGAUGCGUAGCCGACCUGAGAGGGUGAUCGGCCACACUGGAACUGAGACACGGUCCAGACUCCUACGGGAGGCAGCAGUAGGGAAUCUUCCGCAAUGGGCGAAAGCUUGACGGAGCAACGCCGCGUGAGUGAUGAAGGUCUUCGGAUCGUAAAACUCUGUUAUUAGGGAAGAACAAAUGUGUAAGUAACUAUGCACGUCUUGACGGUACCUAAUCAGAAAGCCACGGCUAACUACGUG